RNAcentral lists this ribosomal RNA (292 nucleotides) under uncultured archaeon. RNAcentral's name for it is "partial 16S ribosomal RNA". The record is from RNAcentral.
GUUGAUCCAAUUGAACCGCAGGCUUCACCCCUUGUGGUGCUCCCCCGCCAAUUCCUUUAAGUUCAUACUUGCGUACGUACUUCCCAGGCGGCAGACUUAACGGCUUCCCUGCGGCACUGCAUUGGCCACAAGCCAAUGCAUCACCGAGUCUGCAUCGUUUACAGCUGGGACUACCCGGGUAUUUUAAUCCGGUUUGCUCCCCCAGCUUUCAUCCCUCACCGUCGAGCGUGUUCUGGUACACCGUCUUCGCCACAGGUGGUCUUCAAUAGAUCCAAAANAAAGGGCACUUUUU